Molecule: ribosomal RNA, 254 nt
Filed under: uncultured bacterium
Lineage: Bacteria
Description: partial 16S ribosomal RNA
Rfam family: Bacterial small subunit ribosomal RNA
Source: RNAcentral
UACAGAGGUCCCAAGCGUUGUUCGGAUUCACUGGGCGUAAAGGGUGCGUAGGUGGCCAGGUAAGUUCGGUGUGAAAGCUCGGAGCUUAACUCCGAAAUGUCAUUGAAUACUAUCUGGCUAGAGGGUCGGAGGGGAGACUGGAAUUCUCGGUGUAGCAGUGAAAUGCGUAGAUAUCGAGAGGAACACCAGUGGCGAAGGCGAGUCUCUGGACGACACCUGACACUGAGGCACGAAAGCUAGGGGAGCAAACCGGG